GAUGAACGCUGGCGGCGUGCCUAAUACAUGCAAGUCGAGCGAACAGAUGAGAAGCUUGCUUCUCUGAUGUUAGCGGCGGACGGGUGGGUAACACGUGGGUAACCUACCUAUAAGACUGGGAUAACUCCGGGAAACCGGGGCUAAUACCGGAUAAUAUUUUGAACCGCAUGGUUCAAUAGUGAAAGACGGUUUCAGCUGUCACUUAUAGAUGGACCCGCGCCGUAUUAGCUAGUUGGUAAGGUAACGGCUUACCAAGGCGACGAUACGUAGCCGACCUGAGAGGGUGAUCGGCCACACUGGAACUGCGACACGGUCCAGACUCCUACGGGAGGCAGCAGUAGGGAAUCUUCCGCAAUGGGCGAAAGCCUGACGGAGCAACGCCGCGUGAGUGAUGAAGGUCUUCGGAUCGUAAAACUCUGUUGUUAGGGAAGAACAAAUUUGUUAGUAACUGAACAAGUCUUGACGGUACCUAACCAGAAAGCCACGGCUAACUACGUGCCAGCCGCCGCCGUAA
Molecule: ribosomal RNA, 514 nt
Filed under: uncultured bacterium
Lineage: Bacteria
Description: partial 16S ribosomal RNA
Rfam family: Bacterial small subunit ribosomal RNA
Source: RNAcentral